Molecule: long non-coding RNA, 1231 nt
Organism: Liolophura sinensis
Lineage: Eukaryota; Metazoa; Mollusca; Polyplacophora; Chitonida; Chitonidae
Exons: 2
Source: RefSeq, a predicted model, not a curated record
GAGAGGUAGGUGCAAGGCGACCGGAGCUGGAUAUUACGCGUUCUACUGAUGUCACGUGACCAGCCCACGGUUCUCUGGGUGUAGCGAGCGCAGUGUUAGCCGAUGUUUAUAACCGACUGGACUGCGCACCCCACAGUGUGUAGUAAGCGCAUAGGCUUAGCGGACGAGAGCGGCACCACAUGAAAGAUUUUUCAAAGAUGGGCUUACGGAUACAAGUGACAGUGCUCUGUCUGGUUUUACCGCUAUGUUUGGGAGAAUAUGCAUCGAGGUUCAACAGCUGGAAGAGGUCACCAGGUGGCGUCAGCUCACCAGCAUCGGAUUAUUUACAAAAUGUGAUUGGACAAAAAUACUCAGCCGAUGAGCUCAGAAGAUUGUUGCCAUUAUUUCGACGGAUGAUCGUAGGAGAAAAGUAUGAUGACCUUCAACCAAUGUCCAAAAAAGCCGCUUUCUGGAGGCCUAUGGGGGGCCUACCGAUAGAAUCGCGGCUCUCCACGCUUGCGCAGAUAUCGGCGGAAGGCAAUGAAGCCGGAGACCAGUCCGCUACUUUAUUCCGCUAUGGCUAGGUACCGCCUUCAGAGGAAGCGGAAGGAUACAACACCGUAUAUGGUGGACCUGACCGCGUAGUGCUACAUUGCGGUGAUUCGUCGAAGCAACAUUCAGUGCACCGCCAAUAAUUCUGUAGUUUUUAAGUUCCUCACGUGUUUGUUCGUUUAUCUCUCCACUUCUGUACCUUUAUAACGAUGUUUAUUUUUUAAACAAUCCAGGAUUGAGAAUCACUGUUCCAAGGAUUUUGUCCAAAAUUUUUGUCAGAACAUCCAUGGUGGCUGCCAUUCCUCUCCAGACUAUGACACAAUGAACAUUAUCUUUUAAGACACUGUAGUUCCGAGUUGCAAACAUUACGUGUUACACGAUCUGUCUCACUUGAAUAUUCCAUCGCUAAAAUACCGUGAUAUGUGGACAAUUUCUGUUCUCUAUCAUUAGCGAGAUUAUCAUGACCUUUCUUGUGGCUUCGGUUUUUAAAACAAUUAUUGUGGAAAAUGAGCCACCUGAUCAUCAGUUAUAAAUCAGAACUCACUCUUUCCGGAUCAACACUGCACUGUCCUGGAAUAUUAAACAACUUAGACUCAUGUCAAAAAGAAACUGUGUUAAGAAUCGAUUUUAUUUACCGCAAACGCGAAAUCAUGAUAUGGUUUUAAUAAAAACUGAAUCCAGUUGUUUCUGUUAUAAGCUC